RNAcentral lists this ribosomal RNA (397 nucleotides) under uncultured bacterium. RNAcentral describes it as "partial 16S ribosomal RNA". It matches the Rfam family "Bacterial small subunit ribosomal RNA", at positions 360 to 774 of the family's 1533-position model. The record is from RNAcentral.
AAUCUUAGACAAUGGAGGCAACCCUGAUCUAGCCAGGCCGCGUGAGUGAUGAAGGCCCUAGGGUUGUAAAGCUCUUUCAGCUUGGAAGAUAAUGACGGGAGCAGCAGAAGAAUUACCGGCCAACUCAGUGCCAGCAGCCACGGUAAAACGGAGAGGACUAGCGUUGAUCGGAAUUACUGGGCGUAAAGCGCACGUAGGCGGAUCGGAAAGUUGGGGGUGAAAUCCCGGGGCUCAACCCCGGAACUGCCUUCAAAACUAUCGGUCUGGAGUUCGAGAGAGGUGAGUGGAAUUCCGAGUGUAGAGGUGAAAUUCGUAGAUAUUCGGAGGAACACCAGUGGCGAAGGCGGCUCACUGGCUCGAUACUGACGCUGAGGUGCGAAAGCGUGGGGAGCAAACA